Molecule: ribosomal RNA, 497 nt
Filed under: uncultured bacterium
Lineage: Bacteria
Description: partial 16S ribosomal RNA
Rfam family: Bacterial small subunit ribosomal RNA
Source: RNAcentral
GAUGAACGCUGGCGGCGUGCCUAAUACAUGCAAGUCGAGCGAACGGACGAGAAGCUUGCUUUUCUGAUGUUAGCGGCGGACGGGUGAGUAACACGUGGAUAACCUACCUAUAAGACUGGGAUAACUUCGGGAAACCGGAUCUAAUACCGGAUAAUAUUUUGAACUGCAUGGUUCAAAAGUGAAAGACGGUCUUGCUGUCACUUAUAGAUUGAUCCGCGCUGCAUUAGCUAGUUGGUAAGGUAACUGCUUACCAAGGCAACGAUGCAUAGCCGACCUGAAGGGGUGGUCGGCCAGACUGGAACUGAGACAGGGUACAGACUCUUACAGGGAGAAGCAGUAGGGACUCUUCCGCGAUGGGGGAGAGCCGGACGGAGCAACACCGGGUGAGUGCUGAACGUCUUAGGACCGUAAAACUAUGUUAUUAGGGAAGAAGAAAUGUGUAAGUAACUGUGAACAUCUUGACAGUACCUAGUGAGAAAGCCACGGCUAACUACGUG